GAUGAACGCUGGCGGCGUGCCUAAUACAUGCAAGUCGAGCGAACAGAUGAGGAGCUUGCUCCUCUGACGUUAGCGGCGGACGGGUGAGUAACACGUGGAUAACCUACCUAUAAGACUGGGAUAACUUCGGGAAACCGGAGCUAAUACCGGAUAAUAUAUUGAACCGCAUGGUUCAAUAGUGAAAGACGGUUUUGCUGUCACUUAUAGAUGGAUCCGCGCCGCAUUAGCUAGUUGGUAAGGUAACGGCUUACCAAGGCAACGAUGCGUAGCCGACCUGAGAGGGUGAUCGGCCACACUGGAACUGAGACACGGUCCAGACUCCUACGGGAGGCAGCAGUAGGGAAUCUUCCGCAAUGGGCGAAAGCCUGACAGAGCAGCGCCGCGUGAGUGAUGAAGGUCUUCGGAUCGUAAAACUCUGUUAUUAGGGAAGAACAAAUGUGUAAGUAACUAUGCACGUCUUGACGGUACCUAAUCAGAAAGCCACGGCUAACUACGUG
RNAcentral lists this ribosomal RNA (497 nucleotides) under uncultured bacterium. RNAcentral's name for it is "partial 16S ribosomal RNA". It matches the Rfam family "Bacterial small subunit ribosomal RNA", at positions 28 to 507 of the family's 1533-position model. The record is from RNAcentral.